RNAcentral lists this transfer RNA (85 nucleotides) under Methanosarcina thermophila. RNAcentral describes it as "tRNA-Leu". It matches the Rfam family "tRNA". Rfam says of the family: Transfer RNA (tRNA) molecules are approximately 80 nucleotides in length. Their secondary structure includes four short double-helical elements and three loops (D, anti-codon, and T loops). Further hydrogen bonds mediate the characteristic L-shaped molecular structure. tRNAs have two regions of fundamental functional importance: the anti-codon, which is responsible for specific mRNA codon recognition, and the 3' end, to which the tRNAs corresponding amino acid is attached (by aminoacyl-tRNA synthetases). tRNAs cope with the degeneracy of the genetic code in two manners: having more than one tRNA (with a specific anti-codon) for a particular amino acid; and 'wobble' base-pairing, i.e. permitting non-standard base-pairing at the 3rd anti-codon position. The record is from RNAcentral. RNAcentral also lists the same sequence under 4 other names. Lineage: Archaea; Methanobacteriati; Methanobacteriota; Methanomicrobia; Methanosarcinales; Methanosarcinaceae.
GCGAGGGUUGCCCAGCCAGGUCAAAGGCGCUAGAUUCAGGGUCUAGUCUCGUAGGAGUUCGUGCGUUCGAAUCGCACCCCUCGCA